RNAcentral lists this ribosomal RNA (237 nucleotides) under uncultured bacterium. RNAcentral describes it as "partial 16S ribosomal RNA". It matches the Rfam family "Bacterial small subunit ribosomal RNA", at positions 113 to 334 of the family's 1533-position model. The record is from RNAcentral.
CAACGUAGGUAAUCUACCCCCGAAAUCUGGAAUAACCGGCCGAAAGGCUGGCUAAUACUGGAUAGAGCGACGGAAUCCGUAAUUGGGUUUUUCGGGAAAGGGAGGGAGCAAUCCCCUUCGUUUCGGGAUGAGCCUGCGUCUCAUUAGCUAGUUGGCGGGGUAAUGGCCCACCAAGGCAUUGAUGAGUAGCUGGUCUGAGAGGAUGAUCAGCCACACUGGAACUGAAACACGGUCCAG